UGUCGAGUGACGUAGAAUCAUUGAAACUACAACUUAAAUCAGGUUUUUGGCUUUAAUUUUUAUUAAACUGCGUCCAUGAUAUAAAAUGAUAUACAUAUUGUUUUCACAUUUGUGGAAGUGUUUAAUUGUAUAUACACAGUUUUAAGGCGUAAGCACACCAUUGAUAAAAUACAAAGUCAGCUGCGCACUACAGAGCGUAACCUUACAAACGAAAUUUCGGUUGUAACAAACGAAAUAAGUCUAUUAACAGAGCAAUUAGAGAUACUCGUUAAUGGUAUUUCGGAAGUGAAUACUCAAAUAGCCGUGGUAGAGAUCUGUAAAGCUUCGGAACAGUGUAAAAUGAAAGAACAAGUUGAAAGCCUCAACCAACACGUGGAUGGAUUCAAACAACUUUUUUUAAAAGAACAAGCGGUGCAAGUGCAAGACAUUAAAGCCAAAGAAGCCGAGGCGGAAGAAUUAAAAAAGAAAGAACUCCAACUUGAAGAGGAACAGAAGACAAUAGUUAGCGCUCUUGAAAAAGAAACAGUGAUGAUUGAACGUGAAUGUGCCGUCUUAAAGAAACGUAACAAUGCAAUCAUGUUAAAGCUGAGACGUCAGCUCCUUGAAGCAAAUAAGAUACGGCAAACAUUAAUUAAAAAUAAACAAACGGAUUUUUAAAGUUAGGUAUUUAU
Papilio xuthus (Asian swallowtail) is the source of this 671-nucleotide RNA transcript. RefSeq lists it as uncharacterized. The transcript has 5 exons. NCBI's taxonomy places the organism in Eukaryota, Metazoa, Arthropoda, Insecta, Lepidoptera, Papilionidae. The record is from RefSeq and is a predicted model, not a curated record.